CCCUAUAUCAGUGGCGCAUAGGUAAAUUGCAAGAUGACAAGUUGAUAGAUACAGUCAGGGUGUGGCUGGACUGUAGCAAAGAAUUUGAACAGACAAAAGGAGAUGUAAUGUUUGAUGAAAAGUCAGGACGCCAUUAUUAUCGAC
Long non-coding RNA from Bufo bufo (common toad), 144 nucleotides. RefSeq lists it as uncharacterized. Lineage: Eukaryota; Metazoa; Chordata; Amphibia; Anura; Bufonidae. The record is from RefSeq and is a predicted model, not a curated record. The transcript has 3 exons.